RNAcentral lists this ribosomal RNA (391 nucleotides) under uncultured bacterium. RNAcentral describes it as "bacterial SSU rRNA". It matches the Rfam family "Bacterial small subunit ribosomal RNA", at positions 28 to 420 of the family's 1533-position model. The record is from RNAcentral.
GACGAACGCCGGCGGCGUGCUUAACACAUGCAAGUCGAGCGGUAAGGCCCUUUCGGGGGUACGACGAGCGGCGAACGGGUGAGUAACACGUGGGUGACCUGCCCUCAGCUCUGGGAUAAGCCUGGGAAACCGGGGUCUAAUACUGGAUAUGACUCCAUGACGCAUGUUGUGGGGUGGAAAGCCUUGUGCGGCUGAGGAUGGGCCCGCGGCCUAUCAGCUUGUUGGUGGGGUGANGGCCUACCAAGGCGACGACGGGUAGCCGGCCUGAGAGGGCGACCGGCCACACUGGGACUGAGACACGGCCCAGACUCCUACGGGAGGCAGCAGUGGGGAAUCUUGCGCAAUGGGCGAAAGCCUGACGCAGCGACGCCGCGUGGAGGAUGGACCGUCG